Long non-coding RNA from Photinus pyralis (common eastern firefly), 602 nucleotides. RefSeq lists it as uncharacterized. The transcript has 3 exons. The record is from RefSeq and is a predicted model, not a curated record. Lineage: Eukaryota; Metazoa; Arthropoda; Insecta; Coleoptera; Lampyridae.
AAACAUUCCUCGACUCAUGCGCCGCCCGUGACUACUUUUGUUACUACUGCUACCGGGUAAGUGAAAACGGUUUUGUUGUCUUAAUGUAAUGGCGGAUACAUUUGAACCGAUACCCUGUUGCGCUCGGCUGAUGGUAGAGCAUGAAUGAUAUAAGGGCGCCAGGGUUAUGCGCGGAAGGUACUCUCAGGGUCGUGACGUUAACUAGCCCGUUCUGGUAAUUUGACCAUUAAAUUAUGAACAACGUGAGGUUGUCCGACUGAUCGUGUGAGAUGGAGGUGUGACCUGUCGCGGAGAUCUCUUACAGAAUUCGGAUACCUUAUUGACGGUUUACUUCGGAAGACGGUUGAAGACCUUGACGACUGGAGCUGCUGCUGGAGUUGGAAUAGGAUAGAUUUAUUUUGACUGCUACGUUAGAUGUUGAUUUCCUUACGAGUGCCAAUUCUAGGGCAACUCUAAUAUUUCGAUAGAAAUUAUAUAAUUACUUAAAAGAACCCUGAAAUAUUAAAAAUUAGCUCCAAGCAGCUACAGAUUAAUUUAAUGCAUUACCAGGAUGAACUGGGUUCCAAAUAUAUAGUAUAAGAUUAAAUAAUUAAUUUAGGGUA